This 390-nucleotide ribosomal RNA is filed under the name uncultured bacterium. Its description in RNAcentral is "bacterial SSU rRNA". It matches the Rfam family "Bacterial small subunit ribosomal RNA", at positions 28 to 419 of the family's 1533-position model. The record is from RNAcentral.
GACGAACGCUGGCGGCGUGCUUAACACAUGCAAGUCGAGCGGUAAGGCCCUUUCGGGGGUACACGAGCGGCGAACGGGUGAGUAACACGUGGAUGACCUGCCCUCAGCUCUGGGAUAAGCCUGGGAAACCGGGUCUAAUACCGGAUAUGACUCCAUGACGCAUGUUGUGGGGUGGAAAGCCUUGUGCGGCUGAGGAUGGGCCCGCGGCCUAUCAGCUUGUUGGUGGGGUGANGGCCUACCAAGGCGACGACGGGUAGCCGGCCUGAGAGGGCGACCGGCCACACUGGGACUGAGACACGGCCCAGACUCCUACGGGAGGCAGCAGUGGGGAAUCUUGCGCAAUGGGCGAAAGCCUGACGCAGCGACGCCGCGUGAGGGAUGACGGCCUGG